UACGUAGGGGGCGAGCGUUGUCCGGAUUCAUUGGGCGUAAAGAGCUCGUAGGCGGCUUGGCAAGUCGGAUGUGAAAACUCCAGGCUCAACCUGGAGCCGCCAUUCGAUACUGCUAUGGCUAGAGUCCGGUAGGGGAGUGUGGAAUUCCCGGUGUAGCGGUGAAAUGCGCAGAUAUCGGGAGGAACACCGAUGGCGAAGGCAGCACUCUGGGCCGGUACUGACGCUGAGGAGCGAAAGCGUGGGGAGCGAACAGG
Molecule: ribosomal RNA, 254 nt
Filed under: Acidimicrobiaceae bacterium
Lineage: Bacteria; Bacillati; Actinomycetota; Acidimicrobiia; Acidimicrobiales; Acidimicrobiaceae
Also listed under: 1 other name
Description: partial 16S ribosomal RNA
Rfam family: Bacterial small subunit ribosomal RNA
Source: RNAcentral